CAUAGCAAAGGUCAUCAUAUCAAAUGCAGAACAUAACUGAGUGUCCAUGACAUGAAAUAAAAACAUAGAAAGAUGAUCCCCACCCCAUGUUGGUCUUGGUCACACGAAAGAAAAAAAUAAGUAUGAGUGAGGAGGAUUUACAGAUCUAGGGGCCCGUCGGCGUCUCAUAAUCCAUCCGUGAUGCAGCAACA
Molecule: long non-coding RNA, 191 nt
Organism: Sebastes umbrosus (honeycomb rockfish)
Lineage: Eukaryota; Metazoa; Chordata; Actinopteri; Perciformes; Sebastidae
Exons: 2
Source: RefSeq, a predicted model, not a curated record